Erythranthe guttata (spotted monkey flower) is the source of this 549-nucleotide non-coding RNA. The record is from RefSeq and is a predicted model, not a curated record. NCBI's taxonomy places the organism in Eukaryota, Viridiplantae, Streptophyta, Magnoliopsida, Lamiales, Phrymaceae.
CAGAAGAACUGAAGAGGGGUUCAUAUACAUAUCGUCUGUGGUCGAAGCAGAUAACCCUUCGGAGCGGUCGGGAUUGAGCAGUCUCUACAAACAAGCAUCGCUAGCAUCAAGAUUGCUCGUGGUUUCAAGAAUAUCGAACCGAAAGGUGCUCCCGUGAAUGGUUUCUCCCGCAGGCGCAAUCCGGUGCUUCGACACCGUUUCUCUCAGCCAAAAACUUUCGCUCCACCGCCACGCCAGGGUGGCAAUCAUAGUGCACGUCUUCUUGUGGGACCGGAGGGUGAACUACGCUAACGUGGGCAGCAUCCGGGCCCGGGCCAUGUCCACGUCAACGUCGAGCCCGCCUAAUUUGGGGCGGCCCGUUAAUCAGAGUCAGGUGGUGCCACUGGAAGUUGACGACCAAGAGGAUUUGGAAGAUGACUACGAGAUCGAAGUUAGCGAUGAGCCGGAUAUUACGCUUGAACGGAAUAAUACCGUAAUGGAAGAAGUCUUCCAGCUUGAGGGUCUUCCCGGCUUCAUUCCGUAAAAGAUUUGCGCUUCAUUUUGCUGCCA